RNAcentral lists this long non-coding RNA (566 nucleotides) under Malus domestica (apple). RNAcentral's name for it is "long non-coding RNA (MDOM_LNC004827)". Lineage: Eukaryota; Viridiplantae; Streptophyta; Magnoliopsida; Rosales; Rosaceae. The record is from RNAcentral.
UUUUUUUUUCUUAUUUACUAACCUUGUCAAUAUGGGACUAAAAAAUAAUGAUGUUCUCGAGUCUUUAAUUGAUAUGUAUUAUUAAUGAAUGGGCACUAAAUUAAACAUUUUGAUGACACGUCAUAUAAUUUACAAAUUUGGUCUACGUAUUAUUCUUUAUUGAAGAUUAGACUUGAAUUAAAACGAAUAUUUAAAAAUAACAACCCACAUAGCUACAAGAUAGUAACUAAAAAUAAAUUAACAACCAAACAAAAAUUUGUAAAAAUUGAAAAGAAUAAACAUGCACAUAGCAUUUCGAACUUAGGACCUCUUGUUAAUUUUAAACAACAAAAAUCAUUGUUUCUAAUUAAACUUCUUGAUCAUUUAACCAAAUUUUAUAAAUUUAUACUCUUAUAAAAAGAAAUUUGUAAAAAAUUAAAAGUAAAUAAGUACACAUGGUGUUUUGAACCCAAGAUCUCCUCAUUAUUUUCAAAUGACAAACCACCACUUCUAGUUAAAUUUCUUUGUCUUUGAACCAAAUUUUAUAAAUUUAUACUCUAAUAAUUUUGGUGCCCCUAAUUGUUUUG